GUCGUCACUUCAGCAGUACAUAUACUAAAAUUGGAACGAUACAGAGAAGAUUAGCAUGGCCCUGCACAAGGAUGAUAUGCAAAUUCAUGAAGCAUUAUAAAAUAAU
RNAcentral lists this small nuclear RNA (106 nucleotides) under Piliocolobus tephrosceles (Ugandan red Colobus). The record is from RNAcentral. Lineage: Eukaryota; Metazoa; Chordata; Mammalia; Primates; Cercopithecidae.